UUCUUUGGAGAGUUUGAUCCUGGCUCAGGACGAACGCUGGCGGCGUGCCUAAUACAUGCAAGUCGAGCGGACCAAAUCGGAGCUUGCUCUGAUUCGGUCAGCGGCGGACGGGUGAGUAACACGUGGGCAACCUGCCCGCAAGACCGGGAUAACUCCGGGAAACCGGAGCUAAUACCGGAUAACACCGAAGACCGCAUGGUCUUUGGUUGAAAGGCGGCCUUUGGCUGGCACUUG
RNAcentral lists this ribosomal RNA (234 nucleotides) under Geobacillus sp. LEMMY01. RNAcentral's name for it is "partial 16S ribosomal RNA". It matches the Rfam family "Bacterial small subunit ribosomal RNA", at positions 1 to 221 of the family's 1533-position model. Lineage: Bacteria; Bacillati; Bacillota; Bacilli; Caryophanales; Anoxybacillaceae. The record is from RNAcentral.